Molecule: long non-coding RNA, 1255 nt
Filed under: Diabrotica virgifera virgifera (western corn rootworm)
Lineage: Eukaryota; Metazoa; Arthropoda; Insecta; Coleoptera; Chrysomelidae
Description: uncharacterized LOC126885080
Source: RNAcentral
AGUUAUGCUACGGACCAUUUAAAAUUAAUUACGAUUUUCGAUUCAUUCAAUUAUAUUUCAUUAAAAAUACCCCUCUAGAAAAUUCUUUGGAGACGCCUAUUUAAUCGCCUAGGUGCCUAUUUUCGCAGCGAAGCAAGAGGAAAGCACCGCGCAUGUUUCUAUCGGAUCGAUACGAAUCGAUUUCCGAUAACAUUGAACAGCAGUUGGUCAGGAAACGGCUCGAAGGGCGGAUGGCGCGCCGCUAGUAAGGUUAUUCCCCCUUUUAAGUGACGGGAUUGAAACAAAUUUUCGAUGGAAAUCAAAUAAUUAGAAGGAAAUCAAGCGUCAGCUAAUCCCAUCUACAAAACUAGAUAACCAAAGUUAAACAUCUCUUUGGACUUCUUCACAUAACAGAAGUGGAUAUUCCGGCGUGCCUGCCUUGUUUCAAUCCCGUAACUUAGUUAUUUAGUCACACAACGUGACUCUAUCACGUUGAUUAUGUACUACCUAGUUAGAUUGCUAGCCACUCUGUGAUGGUUUAUCCCUAGAGUGGGCUGUUUUUGUUGGAUAAUACACCAUACCGGAUUUUAUUACAACCAGCAUCUUCACCCAGGACCUUGCAGUAGGACUUACUCACCACAGCAGCCAACCAUUUUAUCGUGCCAAAAGGGAAUUUCCUACGGAAUUCAUCUCUAUGGACUUGCAACCCUACUUUUAACCGACUGUUAUGUAAAAGCUAAGUUUAUUUACUUUUUCUGUAUUUACUUUUGGGUAAGAUAUAUUUGCUACAUUGUAAACUUUUCGUAUGCAUACGAUUAGGAAGAGUACAUAUAUUUUCGUGAUAGAUAGGGUUUUAGGUUGUUGUUUUUUUUUCUUUUUGAUUCAGUAUAAGUAGGAGUUAGUUAAAAUAAAUAAAAUCAGGUCUUGUUUAAUAAUCAUAAAUAAUUGUAUCUUAAAAUUUAAUAGGGAAUCGGGUUGUAAAAUUUUGUCGCGGAUUUUAAAAUAGGGAAUACGUCUAGUAGGUUUUUUUUGUAUAAUAUAUAAAGAGUCACUGACCAACUCAUUUAUAUAGACCUUUUUGCUAUUCCAACGGACUUUUGAUUUGGAUUUUGAUUUUAAUACUUUUGUUUGGCCGGUGAUAGUGGAUAAUUGCUUGUUGAGUGGCCUUUGCGGUCCUAUUUUAUCUUUUCCCCAUCCACUAUCACUGUUAUUACGUUGCGUUAUAUGUAAAGUGUUAUUAUUUAAUAUUUAUUAUUAAUAUAUUUGUAUGUAUUAA